UGCAGGUUGUUGGUGGAUGUGUGGGGGAAUUGAGCUAGUUCUUGCCAGCUGCUUUGGCUUGGAUAUUUUAAAGAAGGCUGGUUGAGUUGUUUAGCAAAUAAUUCUUGUUUGAAUUAAAAAUGCUUGAAUUAGCUCAUCAAUAGUUCCAUUGGAACGUACUAUUUGUGUUUUUUAAUCAAUAUAACUACUUGGCUGAGCGAGCUGAGAGUUUUGUACCUGGGCAAUGUUGUGAGUUGAGCAAUUUUGAAAUCAAAGUUUUGAAUUGUUGUUAGAUGAGGGUUGAUGGGUGGUUUAAUUAGUUGGAUAUGGUGACCUGAUGGUCCAUUUUCUUGACCUUAAAGUUAGAUUUGGUUAUCCCAAUGAAGUUAGUUCAAAGUUUCGAGGACCGUUUCCUAGAAUUUGGUAUCCAGCAAAUCUGCACUCCUACGGAAUUUGGGGCAGGAAUUGUGAACGAUUGGAUGGAUUGACUGGAUUUUGAUGCAGGAUCUGGGCGCAGCUAAUCAACAGUGACCGAUAUCAGAAUUGUGGUUGUGGGUGACUCUAAGAUUAAAUGGUGGGUCAUCGUCGUAUUAAGGUCUUCUGCGACACAGGAUUGUAGGCGUGUAGGUCGGUCAUAAUCUGUGUGGGGUCUGUUGGUGGAAUGGUUGUUGCCGGGAAUUCGUCAUUCCAGUUCUCGGGUGGAAUUGAAGAUGGUGACUUUUAUUGUGGUUGGGAUUUCACAAGCGCAUUAGAAUUUAUUUUAUAAAAAUUGAUGUCAACAGGGGAUUUUAUAAUUUUUGUUUUUUUAAAGCUCAAGUAACGGCCACUGAAUUAUCUUCGUUGGAAUGGAUUUAUGCUGUUUGAGCUUGUCUUUUGGUUUUAGUGUUCUCCAAAACAUUUUGUUUGAUCCUAUGACCUGUUUCUUUUGUUUUGAAGUUGGAAUACAUGGGUUGUUGAAAUUGAAAUAGAUUUUAACAGGGAAAACUACUGAUUGAUGCAACAUUGUCGCUGUUAGACAAUAAUCUCGAAUCCAUCGAUGGGACAAAAGCUGUUUUGAAUUUGGUGUAGUCAUCGAUCGUGAAAAAGUAUGAUCACAUGCAACAGAAGAUAUAGCAAUCAAGUUGCCAGAUGGUCAGGGUUUGCUGCUGAAAAAUGGUUGCAUAAUUGUAAUCUAGAGACUUGUGGUUGGCAGAUGUUUGAUUAUCUAUAUGAGCGACAAAAUCGAUAAAUGAAACUCAAGUUAGGGAGUUCGGUGGUAGGGCAUGCAAACAUUAUAAAGUGAAUGAUUAUAUUGUUUAGUUUUUGCUCACCAUCGACCAACAACAAUUUCGGCAAGAGUAUGCUUGAUUUUAAUAUGGUCCAUUGGAGAUAUGAUAAUAUACGGUCCAAAUUUAGUUUAUACCAAAGGAAAAUGGUUAUUUCAGUACUAAUAGACUUGCUAAUAGACAUUGAGGAAUGUUGUGGGCAGGCUGUGGGGGGACCUUCUUUAAUAGUCCCAUAUCGGACAACUCUGGUGUGUGCAUGUGCUUAAGUAGUGCGGUCCGCCUCUUACCUCGUGAGGCGCCUUUUGUCCAGAGGGGUAGAUGGGAUAAAACCGUGACCUGUCGAUCGCGUGCGGCCCGUAGGGCGGCGCCGUCGGGGAAAGCGGACAAUACCUUGCGAUGGUGGAGAGGAAAAGGUGUCCGUAACCUUCCGUCGGGGAAAGCGGACAAUACCUUGCGAUGGUGGAGAGGAAAAGGUGUCCGUAACCUUAACACGUG
RNAcentral lists this long non-coding RNA (1739 nucleotides) under Elaeis guineensis (African oil palm). RNAcentral describes it as "long non-coding RNA (EGUI_LNC001639)". The record is from RNAcentral. Lineage: Eukaryota; Viridiplantae; Streptophyta; Magnoliopsida; Arecales; Arecaceae.